Molecule: ribosomal RNA, 1432 nt
Filed under: uncultured Chloroflexota bacterium
Lineage: Bacteria; Bacillati; Chloroflexota
Description: bacterial SSU rRNA
Rfam family: Bacterial small subunit ribosomal RNA
Source: RNAcentral
GAUAAACGCUGGCGGCGUGCCUAAUGCAUGCAAGUCGAACUGGAGCGGCUUCGGCCGUCGACCGUGGCGGACGGGUGAGGAGCACGUAGCUGACCUGCCCCGACCCGGGGGAUAGUCGCCGGAAACGGCGCGCAAUACCCCAUGGCGUCACCUGGAGGGAUCUGGGGGACGAAAGGUUGGAAGACCGGGUUGGGAGGGGGCUGCGGCGGAUUAGCUGGAUGGCGGGGUAACGGCCCACCAUGGCGAUGAUCCGUAGCUGGUCUGAGAGGACGAUCAGCCACACGGGGACUGAGACACGGCCCCGACUCCUACGGGAGGCAGCAGCAAGGAAUUUUCCACAAUGGGCGCAAGCCUGAUGGAGCAACGCCGCGUGCGGGAGGACGCCCUUCGGGGUGUAAACCGCUUUUCGGGGGGACGAAGCUAAUGACGGUACCCCCGGAAGAAGGACCGGCUAACUACGUGCCAGCAGCCGCGGUAACACGUAGGGUCCGAGCGUUGUCCGGAAUUACUGGGCGUAAAGCGCGCGCAGGCGGUUGGUCGCAUCGGCGGUGAAAGCCCCCCGCUUAACGGGGGAGGGUCCGUCGUGAUGGGCUGACUGGAGGCAGGGAGAGGGCGGUGGAAUUCCGGGUGUAGUGGUGAAACGCGUAGAGAUCCGGAGGAACACCAGUGGCGAAGGCGGCCGCCUGGACCUGACCUGACGCUGAGGCGCGAAGGCGCGGGGAGCGAACGGGAUUAGAUACCCCGGUAGUCCGCGCAGUAAACGAUGCGUGCUGGGUGUGGGCGGGAGUUGACCCCCGCCGUGCCGGAGUUAACACGGUAAGCACGCCGCCUGGGGGAGUACGGCCGCAAGGCUAAAACUCAAAGGAAUUGACGGGGGCCCGCACCAGCAGCGGAGCGUGUGGUUUAAUUCGACGCAACGCGCAACACCUUACCAAGGCUUGACAUCCCAGGGACCCACUGGAAACAGCGGGGUGCCUUUCGGGGAACCUGGAGACAGGUGCUGCAUGGCUGCCGUCAGCUCGUGUCGUGAGAUGUUGGGUUAAGUCCCGCAACGAGCGCAACCCCUGUGGCCAGCUACGUGGGUGUCUGGCCAGACUGCCGGGAACAAACCGGAGGAAGGUGGGGAUGACGUCAAGUCAGCAUGGCCCUUACGCCUUGGGCGACACACACGCUACAAUGGCCGGGACAGUGGGCUGCCAAGCCGCAAGGCGGAGCCAAUCCCCCAAACCCGGCCUCAGUUCGGAUCGUGGGCUGCAACUCGCCCGCGUGAAGACGGAGUUGCUAGUAACCGCCGGUCAGCACUACGGCGGUGAAUAUGUUCCCGGGCCUUGUACACACCGCCCGUCACGUCAUGGGAGCCGGCAACACCUGAAGUCGGUGGGUGAACCUGCAAAGGACACAGCCGCCGAGGGUGGGGUUGGUGACUAGGACG